UACGUCACUUUACGUCACUGUAUGGCGUCACCGAUCGCGUCACUACAAACGGGGAGGUCCCAGUCGUGAUCGCCCGGGCGCCUGUAGGGGAGACGUCAGGGUCUCCAGACUGCUGUCCCGUCUGGAGCGGAUCCCAUCGGCUACUUCUGCGAGUGCAGGAAAGAUUUUCCAGGAACCGGGACCUUUGGGGCUGAGUGCAGGUUAAUGUGAAAGAAUGCCUAUUGACACUCGUUAACUCCGCAGCAACGUGCGAUGGACCCGGCCUUGAAUUCCUCCGACUCUUGUUUCUUCAUUUUAUAGGAUUUAGUUCCCAGGGAUUAAACCUGCUCCCCCUGCACUGGGAGCUUGAAGUCUUAACCACUGGACCACCCAGGGAAGUCCUGCAGGUUCUUUCAGAGAUGACUGCAGUGUGACUGUGACUUAAUGGAACCUUCACAUCCAGAGGGAAAUAAACAUCCAAUCAACAGUCGAAUUACACAGAUUUGUGAGUGAGGAGACAAGUUGAGUUAAAAUAGAUUUAGAGGACGUUAAUUUAUAAUUUGGUAAUUUAAGUCCGGGGUGUGGAUGAGAUCAAUCAAAACACAGAAGAAACGAUAAAGAGGACCAAGGACAGAUCCCCGGGAAGCACUAAGGCUGUGGCAGAUGAACGGAAGCGCACAAAGUCUGAGGAAGAAUGGCCAGAGAGAGAAAAGAACUAGCUUAUGACCAGAAACUAUGGAUAUGGAUAUGAUACAGUUACUCAAGAAACUCACAGUUUGGAAGGAAGAUAAACAUAAAAGUGAUGUGUGUUACAUAACUGGCUGUUUCCUCAUUUCACUCUGACUGCCAAGAAGCUCUGAGAAAUAUGUGGCUCAGCAUUAGUAACUGGAAGGACUCUUGGCUUCCAUGUCUACAUUCUGUUGGUUUGAAAUUCUUCAAAAUUAAAAGCUGGGGGAAAUCUAAAUUCUUCUGCAUUUUCUAGAUUAUUGAUAUUAUACAUUUGUUUUAUAAUUAGAAAAAGUAAACCUUGUUUUUAAAAGAAAGGUUGCAUCUUGGCAUGCUUUCUCAGACUUUGAAUCUGUGGACAAGAAGUAGUUUCAGAUUAACUUCCAUGAAUUCAAUGUAGAAUCCUGCUGCUGCUGCUGCUGCUAAGUCGCUUCAGUCGUGUCCGACUCUGUGGGACCCCAUAGACGGCAGCCCACCAGGCUCCCCCGUCCC
Long non-coding RNA from Bubalus bubalis (water buffalo), 1197 nucleotides. RefSeq lists it as uncharacterized. The transcript has 5 exons. The record is from RefSeq and is a predicted model, not a curated record. Lineage: Eukaryota; Metazoa; Chordata; Mammalia; Artiodactyla; Bovidae.